This 253-nucleotide ribosomal RNA is filed under the name uncultured bacterium. RNAcentral's name for it is "partial 16S ribosomal RNA". It matches the Rfam family "Bacterial small subunit ribosomal RNA", at positions 524 to 776 of the family's 1533-position model. The record is from RNAcentral.
UACAUGGGGUGCAAACGUUGUUCGGAUUCAUUGGGCGUAAAGGGUGCGUAGGCGGCGCGGUAAGUCGGGUGUGAAAUCUCGGAGCUUAACUCCGAAACUGCAUUCGAUACUGCCGUGCUUGAGGACUGGAGAGGAGACUGGAAUUUACGGUGUAGCGGUGAAAUGCGUAGAUAUCGUAAGGAAGACCAGUGGCGAAGGCGGGUCUCUGGACAGUUCCUGACGCUGAGGCACGAAGGUCAGGGGAGCAAACGGG